Molecule: ribosomal RNA, 497 nt
Filed under: uncultured bacterium
Lineage: Bacteria
Description: partial 16S ribosomal RNA
Rfam family: Bacterial small subunit ribosomal RNA
Source: RNAcentral
GAUGAACGCUGGCGGCGUGCCUAAUACAUGCCAGUCGAGCGAACAGACGAGGAGCUUGCUCCUCUGACGUUAGCGGCGGACGGGUGAGUAACACGUGGAUAACCUACCUAUAAGACUGGGAUAACUUCGGGAAACCGGAGCUAAUACCGGAUAAUAUAUUGAACCGCAUGGUUCAAUAGUGAAAGACGGUUUUGCUGUCACUUAUAGAUGGAUCCGCGCCGCAUUAGCUAGUUGGUAAGGUAACGGCUUACCAAGGCAACGAUGCGUAGCCGACCUGAGAGGGUGAUCGGCCACACUGGAACUGAGACACGGUCCAGACUCCUACGGGAGGCAGCAGUAGGGAAUCUUCCGCAAUGGGCGAAAGCCUGACGGAGCAACGCCGCGUGAGUGAUGAAGGUCUUCGGAUCGUAAAACUCUGUUAUUAGGGGAGAACAAAUGUGUAAGUAACUAUGCACGUCUUGACGGUACCUAAUCAGAAAGCCACGGCUAACUACGUG